This 206-nucleotide long non-coding RNA is filed under the name Nicotiana benthamiana. Its description in RNAcentral is "long non-coding RNA (NBEN_LNC001268)". The record is from RNAcentral. Lineage: Eukaryota; Viridiplantae; Streptophyta; Magnoliopsida; Solanales; Solanaceae.
UUUUCCACUUUGUAAAGAUCGACACACAGAAAUAUAGAGAUUCAGCUCUCUAUCUCUCUCUCUCUCUCUCCGUUCUUUUCUUCAGUUUUAUCUCAAUCAGUUUGCGAUAUUCGGCAUGUUAACAUGGUAUCAAAGCAGUGAUUCCGAUUCUGCUCGUCACCGGCUUUCUCGCGUUGUUACCCUCAUGAAUUUUUAUCCGAGUUUCG